CCCUGGUUAGCUCAGUUGGUAGAGCGCUCCACUUGUAAUGGAGAGGUCCCGGGUUCGAUACCCGAACCAGGCG
Ixodes scapularis (black-legged tick) is the source of this 73-nucleotide non-coding RNA. The record is from Rfam. NCBI's taxonomy places the organism in Eukaryota, Metazoa, Arthropoda, Arachnida, Ixodida, Ixodidae.